RNAcentral lists this transfer RNA (71 nucleotides) under Penaeus chinensis. Its description in RNAcentral is "tRNA-Pro". It matches the Rfam family "tRNA". From Rfam's summary of the family: Transfer RNA (tRNA) molecules are approximately 80 nucleotides in length. Their secondary structure includes four short double-helical elements and three loops (D, anti-codon, and T loops). The record is from RNAcentral. Lineage: Eukaryota; Metazoa; Arthropoda; Malacostraca; Decapoda; Penaeidae.
GGCCUGAUGGUCUAGGGGUAUGAUUCUCGCUUAGGGUGCGAGAGGUCCCGGGUUCAAAUCCGGUCAGGCCC